RNAcentral lists this ribosomal RNA (391 nucleotides) under uncultured bacterium. Its description in RNAcentral is "bacterial SSU rRNA". It matches the Rfam family "Bacterial small subunit ribosomal RNA", at positions 28 to 413 of the family's 1533-position model. The record is from RNAcentral.
AGCGAACGCUGGCGGCGUGCUUAACACAUGCAAGUCGAGUGCGCGGCUCGUAGCAAUACGAGCUGGCGCACGGCGCACGGGUGCGUAACACGUGGGCAACAUGCCCUCCGAUGGGGAAUAACCCGCCGAAAGGCGGGCUAAUACCGCAUACCAUUCCGGGAACCCGGUUCCUGGCCUGAAAGCCCGCAAGGGCGUCGGUGGAGUGGCCCGCGGCCGAUUAGCUUGUUGGUGAGGUAACGGCUCACCAAGGCAAUGAUCGGUAGCCGGUCUGAGGGGAGUGAUCGGCCACACUGGAACUGAGACACGGUCCAGACUCCUACGGGAGGCAGCAGUGGGGAAUCUUGCGCAAUGGGCGAAAGCCUGACGCAGCGACGCCGCGUGGGGGAUGAAG